This is a non-coding RNA of Punica granatum (pomegranate), 96 nucleotides long. NCBI's taxonomy places the organism in Eukaryota, Viridiplantae, Streptophyta, Magnoliopsida, Myrtales, Lythraceae. The record is from Rfam.
GAUGGCGAGAAGAAUGAUGAAUCAAUUAGAUGUGUGAAAGGAGAAAAAAUUGUGAUCGCAACAUCGAGGAUUAUUGAUAUUCUGACUUAUGCCAUC